Molecule: ribosomal RNA, 483 nt
Filed under: uncultured bacterium
Lineage: Bacteria
Description: partial 16S ribosomal RNA
Rfam family: Bacterial small subunit ribosomal RNA
Source: RNAcentral
GAUGAACGCUCGCGGCAGGCCUAAUACAUGCAAGCCGAACGGCAAGUUUGAUAGCAUUAUUGGACCUAGAGUGGCGCAAGGGUGCGUAACACGUAUGCAACCUGCCCGCGACAGGCGGAUAGCUCCCCGAACGGGGAAUUAACCCUCCAUAACACCAUGCGCAGGCUUCUGAUUAUGGUUAAACCGCACGGGGUCGCGUAUGGGCAUGCGGUUGAUUAGCUCGUUGGCGGGGUAAAGGCCCACCAAGGCGGUGAUCAAUAGGGGUUCUGAGAGGAAGGUCCCCAACACUGGAACGGGGAUACGGGCCGGACUCCUACGGGAGGCAGCAGGAGGGAAAAUGGGAAAAGGGUUGCAAGACUGAUCCAGCCAGGCCGCGUGCAGGAAGAAGGCCUUCUGGGGCGGAAACUGCUUUUGCCGGGGGAUAAAAGACCCGGGCGCGGGGAAUUGAAGGUAACAGGGGAAUAAGCCACGGCUAACUACGUG